UGCAUUCUUUCGUUCCCCCAUCAAUCUCUCUCCACGCCAAACCUCUGGCUCUAAUCCAAACUCUCUAAAAUCUAAAUCCCUUCUCAUAAACUUCUCCAAUUCAAUUCAACCACCGCAAAAAAUAAUAACAAUAACACACCCACAACAUUUUCCCCAUUCUCCAAUUCUCCCAAGUUCGCCGUAAUGUCCUCCACAGGUCCGCCUGUCCUCCCUAUCUCCACUGUCCAGUCCACCGAAUCGCAGCCACCCAUCUCCGUCUCCGCAUUUCGCGCAUUCCUCUCUCGUCUUAAUGAUUCCUUUCGCAAUGGCAUCUCCCAACGUCGUCCCUGGCCUGAACUAACUGAUAGCUCUGCCUUCUCCAAGCCUGAGUCUUUCUCCGAAGCCACCCUUCGUAUUCGCAAAAAUUACUCCUACUUUCGAGUUAAUUAUCUGAUGGUUAUUGGUUUCACUCUUGCAUUUUCGCUUCUUUCCCACCCCUUUUCCCUUCUCCUCCUUCUAGGCCUUCUCUUCUCUUGGGUCUUCAUGUACCUCUUCCGCCCCGCCGACCAGCCUCUCGUCAUAUUUGGCCGCACCUUCUCUGAUCGCGAGACCCUUGGAAUCCUCAUCAUCUUAAGCGUCUUCGUCAUCUUCCUCACCUCCGUUGGAUCUCUUCUCAUUUCCGCUAUUAUGGUUGGGUUCGGUCUCGUUUGUGCUCACGGUGCCUUUAGGGCCCCUGAAGAUCUGUUCUUGGACGAGCAAGAACCCGCUAACACUGGCUUCUUGUCCUUCCUUGGUGGUGCUGCCUCCAAUGCCGCCGCUGCCGCUGUUCCUGCUGUUUCUGCCACUCGUAUCUAAAGCUUAUCCAAGGAUCGCUCUUUCUCAAUCUCCUUAGCGAGGGGGUGAGCCGAUGAGUGGGUGGCAUCCAUUGUAAAAGAGGAAUGGACUAGUGAAGUCUUUGAUUUGGAGCUCAUGAGAGAUACGCCAACCAUAAAGGAUGAGUUGCUUAAUACAUUGAAACUAGCUCUGCAUUGCGUUGAUUCCUCACCUGCAGCAUGUCGUGGCGAUGAUGGUGCUAAAUUUGCAGCAACGAGUGAAUAGAUUUUCUUUAUUCGUUUACAGCAUUUUAGGGUGCAAAUAUAAUAUGUAUGAAAAUAGGAGAAAGGGAAAGAGGGGGUAUUCUUUCAUUCUUAUUAUUGUUUGUUGUUAUGUGCGGUUUUUUUGCAAAUGUAAAACAUAUCUAUUCUUUUGUAUCAGGAGAUUAAUGUUGUUUUGGAAAAUGAGUAUGACACUUUAUUUCCGUAUUCCAAUUGCCAGGUUUUUACAUGUACAUUAAUGAUGCAGAUGAAUGAAGACACACAAAGCCCUGUAAGAAAGAGAACUGUUUUCUGGCAAUGUUAGAACCCACUGGACUUUCAGUUUUUAACCCAAAUUUUCAGUCGUAAGAGACGGCAAGACCCCUGUUACACGCAAAUGCCUUUUUCUCUCUCCAUCGCAUCACAGUCACCCCAUAGCCGUAACUCUCUGUUUCUCUGAGCUCUCUCACGUCAUGGGCGAUCUGGUAUUGCAGAAAAUAGCAAUAUCUGGGCCAACGCUGGCCUCAAUGAUCCAACGCCUCUCAUCUUCCCCUGCCGACUUAGACGGCCUCCUCUUCGGCCACGUCACUUGCGUAGCCCCUUCUGCCCUCUCCGACGAUUCCGUCCAAUCUACCCCGGAUUCACAACUCGUCGCUACUAUCUCCAGCUUCCUCUCCUUCCCUUCCCUUCUCUCCUUCUAUGACUCACUCGGCCGAGUCGACUCCUCCCGCCUCACCCUUACUAACCUUAAUCAGAAACCCCUCAUCGGCUGGUUCUCCUUUCGCCGGAAAACCCCCCUCCGCCCUUCCAUGCGAGAAUCCUCCGUCACUCGUUCCCUCCCCUCUAACCCCCAACUCUAUCUCCCAAUCCAAAACGCUAGCUCUGAAUCCCUUUUCGCUCCUUCAAUUUUCCUCCUCUUCACCACUCCUCUACAAGACCAAUUCAUCCAAACCUGCCAAUAUCGGGCGUUCCAAUACCAAUCAUCGAACCUCUGUUUUAAUCCCCUGCCGAUCGAUAUAGUCAACAUUGGACCUGCGUUUAGAGGACAUUACGGGGCGUUUAGCCCCACCUCUGCGCUUCCCUUCUUGAACUGCGAGUUAAGAAGCUCAUCGGCGAUCAACGAAUGUAGAAAUGAGGAAAAUUUAAUUGGAAUGAAACGAAUAGCAAAGGAUCAAUCGGAGUUGGAUAUGUGCGCCGAGGGAAUGCAAAUCGGGAGAUUGAAUCAGUUGAUUGGACCGGAAGCCGUUAAUUAUACGGCAGGAUUAGAGGAUCUGUAUAAGAAAAUGCUUUGUAAAAUCGAAAGCUUGGCCAGGCUCGUUGAAGCUAGCUCAGCUAAGGUGGUUGAACAGGAGAAUCACAAUAGAAAGCUAAGAUACAAAGUUGCUAGGUCUGCUGGAUUGGAAUAAUUGCUUCCUUUUGUUUUCUUUUCAAUAUCAUGCCAGGAGUGGACUAGACAAUAUUCUGGAGCUGCAGACAUGUGCUUUUCAAAAGGUUUGAUAGCUCUCACCUGAAAUCAGUUUGCAAAUGCAGAAUUUUGUGUUAUUUCUGAGGCAUUACGAUUCACAUGCAUGCUAUGUUCUUCAUAUGUCACAGAAAUGCAUAAUUUAUAUAAUGUUUUAAGUUGCAAGUCAAGGUUGUUAUCAGCUUUUUCUUUUAAUAAUUAUUCAAACUAGGCUUUAGGUAUCAAAACAUUGUGUAGAAUGUAAUCAUUAUGCUCCGUUUGAUUAUUUGGAUUUGGAUUUCAAUUAUUAUGAAAAUGGUAAGAAUGAAAUGCAUAUAUUAUAGUCAAACUAGUUGAGAUUCAAUCUAAUUAUAUUAGAAAAAGUAUAAAAAUAUGGAUUUGUCAAAUCCAAAUAUAUUUUAAGCAUUUUAAAUUCAUUACUAAAUAGGCUUCUAACAAAUCCGUGGAUUUGCAAAAUGAUCAUGAAGGUUACAUUUCUAAAUAGUUUACUACUCAAUUUACACUUAUUUUUGAAAUCCAAAUCCAAAUUCUAAAAUCAUAGACCUUCAAGAAUUUGGAGAAAGCUUGUGGCUAAUAUAUUGGUGUAUACCUUCUCAUUUCUUUUAUGCAGAAGUGGUUUAUGCUUUGUAUUGUGCAUGUAAUAUUUUACUUUGGAGACCAUUGAUUGAGGGAAAAAAUCCUAAUAGAAAAGAACUCUCUGCAUGUUUAAUCCCUUAUCUUGUUGGUUGCCUUGCUGAGUCUUUGAAGACAAAAUUCUUGAUGUUGGGUGUUUUUUGGAUGAUUGUGCAUGAGUUGAUGGUUUCUUGUGCAUUUUGGCUACUUCAACUUUCUUUCAGGCAGCACAACUGUAUGGUAUAUAGUUGGUGAAUUGAACAGAGAAAUGAAAUGUCAUUUAGUAGGCAUUCUCUUCAUGAGUGUAGGUAAAAAUUAUCCAGCUUAUGAUCACGCAUGGCAUAUCUAGCAAUUCAAUGGAAUUUAUUGACAAGUACUCCCUCAUAAGAGGAUAAGAUACAUUAUAUGAAAAGGUAAAACCGUUAGGAUUUCAUUGAAUAAAACUGUUAGGAUUUCAUUGACAAGGACGUCAAGACAAGACAAGACAAGACAGCCCAUUUUGCAAGAAAUGUAGAUAUUUCCACGGACCAGAAAUUGCUACUUUCUUCUUUAAACCCAGACUAAUAUCUACACACACAGUUGAGGAAAAGCUUGUAGGUUACUGUUAAAAAAGAGUUUUGGGUUUAAUUUUAAGAAUUUUGGUAAUAUACUAGAUAUUUUGGUAAAAUUUUAGAUAUUUAAUAAAUCAAUUAAAUUGAUAGAAAUGUUGGUAAAGUCUUGGUAAAUUCAAAAUGUUAAUUAUUUUGGUAAAAUAUCCAUAUAAAAAUUGGUAAAUUGAUAGAAAUAUUGGUAAAUUCAUAUAAAAUUUGGUAAAAUUAUUAGAAAUAUUGGUAAACUCAUAGAAGUUUUUGUAAAUAGUUAGAAAUUUUGGUACAGUCAAAAAUUUUGUUAAUUCUUAAGACUUGGUAUAGGAUUAGAAAUUUUGGAAAUAUUCAUAAAAUCUUAAAAUUUUUGGUAAAGUCUCAUAAAUAUUGGUAAAUCAAUAGAAAUUUUGGUCGUUAGAUAUAUUGGUAAAUCUUUAGAAAUAUUGGGAAAUAGUUCGAUAUAUUGUAAAAUCCAUAGAUAUUUUGGUAUAUUUAUAGAACUUUUGGUAAUUAUUAAAAUUUGAUAUAGGGUUUAGAAAAUUUGAAAAUAUUGGUAAAAUGUUGGAAAUUUUGGUUAAGUCUCAUAAAUAUUGGUAAAUGUUAGAUAUUUUAGUAAAUUGUUAGAUGUUUUGGUAAAACUUUAAAAAAUUCAAUUUAUUAAAUAUACCAAGAAUCGUUAGAUAUUUUGGUAAAUCUUUAGAAAUAUUGGUAAAGUCUCAUAAAUCUUGAUAAAAUCGAUAGAAAUUUUGGUAAUUGUUAGGACUUGGUAUAGUGUUUAGAAAAUUUGGGAAUAUUGGUAAUGUCUCAUAAAUAUUGAUAAAAGAUAGAAAUUUUGGCAACUUGUUAGAUAUAUUGGUAAGUUCUUAGAAAUAUUGGUAAAUCGUUAAAUAUAUUGGUAACUUGUUAGAUAUUUUGGUAAAUCCUAAAUAUUUUGGUAAAAUUAUAGAAAUUUUGAUAAUUGUUAAGACUUGGUAUGGUGUUUAGAAAUUUUGGUGAAGUCUCAAAAGUAUUGGCAAAAGGGUAGAAAUUUUGGUAAAUCUUAGAAAAUUUGAUAAACUAUUAGAUAUAUUGGUAAAACAAUAGAAAGUUUGGUAAAUCCUUAGUUAUUUUGAUAAACCCUUUAAAAUUUUGGUAAACUUUUUAAUAUAUUGGACCUCGAGUUGCAAAGCGAUCUCGUUUUCUCAAGUGAUGACGCCAUAUUCACAUGGCAGGCGAAAUUUGUAGGUUAUUGAGCUCCAUGACAUCACUGUGAAUCCAAACACAACUUAAAACUAUGACUACGUCUCCCUUAAAGCGAGAGAAAUAAAUCUUUAAACCCGAAAAUUUCAACACGCAAAAAGAAGAAAAAAAUAAUUUAGAGGAAAUUGAGAUGUGGUGAGUAGGGGGAUGAAGAAGGGUGUUUAUAUAAGGGAUAGGGUGGGGUACAAAGGGGACAAAAUUUAUCUCGAGAAUCCCAGUUGCAGGGCUCAUAAGUAAUCAAGUCAAGGUGGUUGAAAUGGCUAGAAAAGAAAUGCUCCUUACAGGGGGUGUUUUCCUCUGACAUGUCAAACAUGUGACUCGAAAACGCAUCCUGUAUUAAAUGUUUUCAUUCCCAUGUUAGAGGAAAACACCCCAUGUAGGGAGCGUUUUCUCUCUGGCCAUUUCAACCACAAAACUAGAACUUUUCCAAAGCAAAAUAAAUAAAAAAAUUAGUAUGAUGAACUUGAAUCGUUAAUUAACUUGAUUGCAUACAAACUAAACCAAUUUAAUAAAUUUGUUUUGUACAUUAUAAGUAAGUGUACCUUUCGAAUGUAAAACAAAGUAUAAAAAAAUUACAAAAUAACGUAAUCAUGGGUGUCCCGAAUGUGUGCCACAAUAGGGUGGGCGUCGAGCACGCCUAAGGUUCUGUCGCACUAUUGCGUUUGGCGGCUGCUCGUCGACUUCGACCUCACCUUGACAUGCACGUCUCAAUCUCUGACAUUGUCUCCUUCCUCUGUGGUUGAACCCGAUCGUGUCUUAGCCACCCAUCGUGGAUUCCCCCGGGUUGAUUCAACGGUUGCGAGGACGGCCCACCUUGGUAGAACAAUCAAUGAGCCACUAUAUGGUGUCACCUAGCUCGAUUGCGAAUAGAAGGUGGGAACUAAAGGUGAUACCGAAUGUGUCAGUGUUGUUGGCGGGACAGGCAUGUAAUAUGGCACGGUGGGUAUCGGUCGUGCAUAAUAUAUCCCUAGAGAAGGUGUUGAUGCAGGAAAUGAUGGAGCAUGUUGUGGUGAUUGUUUAAAAUAAACUGGUGCUAAAUGUGUUGAUGUAUAGAAUGAUUGUGCAUGUUGUGGUGAUUAUGUAAAAUAAACCAUAAUUGAAGGUGA
Molecule: RNA transcript, 6055 nt
Organism: Gossypium raimondii (Peruvian cotton)
Lineage: Eukaryota; Viridiplantae; Streptophyta; Magnoliopsida; Malvales; Malvaceae
Gene name: dehydration-responsive element-binding protein 2A
Exons: 4
Source: RefSeq, a predicted model, not a curated record